AAAAAGACAAACUCUGGGUUUCCGUGUCCAACAUUUGACCGUCCGUCUUAUUUGAAAAAAAUAUGAAAAAAAUUAAAAAGACAAGUCACGCAUAAAGUAUUAAUCAUGUUUUAUCAUCUAACAACAAUGAAAAUACUAAUUAUAAAAAAAAUUCAUAUAAGACAGACAGUCAAACGUUGGACACGGAAACCCAGGGUUUGUCAUUUU
Molecule: microRNA precursor, 207 nt
Filed under: Oryza nivara
Lineage: Eukaryota; Viridiplantae; Streptophyta; Magnoliopsida; Poales; Poaceae
Description: MIR812 microRNA precursor family
Rfam family: MIR812 microRNA precursor family
Source: Rfam by way of RNAcentral